AUUGAACGCUGGCGGCAUGCCUUACACAUGCAAGUCGAACGGUAACAGGUCUUCGGAUGCUGACGAGUGGCGAACGGGUGAGUCAUACAUCGGAACGUGCCUAGUAGUGGGGAUAACUACUCGAAAGAGUGGCUAAUACCGCAUGAGAUCUACGGAUGAAAGCAGGGGAUCGCAAGACCUUGUGCUACUAGAGCGGCCGAUGGAAGAUUAGGUAGUUGGUGGGAUAAAAGCUUACCAAGCCGACGAUCUGUAGCUGGUCUGAGAGGACGAUCAGCAACACUGGGACUGAGACACGGCCCAGACUCCUACGGGAGGCAGCAGUGGGGAAUUUUGGACAAUGGGCGAAAGCCUGAUCCAGCAAUGCCGCGUGCAGGAUGAAGGCCUUCGGGUUGUAAACUGCUUUUGUAAGGAACGAAAAGCCCCGGGUUAAUACCCUGGGGUCAUGACGGUACCGUAAGAAUAAGCACCGGCUAACUACGUGCCAGCAGCCGCCGUAA
RNAcentral lists this ribosomal RNA (497 nucleotides) under uncultured bacterium. RNAcentral describes it as "partial 16S ribosomal RNA". It matches the Rfam family "Bacterial small subunit ribosomal RNA", at positions 30 to 523 of the family's 1533-position model. The record is from RNAcentral.